AACCUUACCAGGUCUUGACAUCCUUUGACCAUCCUAGAGAUAGGACUUUCCCUUCGGGGACAAAGUGACAGGUGGUGCAUGGUUGUCGUCAGCUCGUGUCGUGAGAUGUUGGGUUAAGUCCCGCAACGAGCGCAACCCUUAUUGUUAGUUGCCAUCAUUCAGUUGGGCACUCUAGCGAGACUGCCGCAGACAAUGCGGAGGAAGGUGGGGAUGACGUCAAAUCAUCAUGCCCCUUAUGACCUGGGCUACACACGUGCUACAAUGGAGAGUACAACGAGUUGCGAAGUCGUGAGGCUAAGCUAAUCUCUUAAAGCUCUUCUCAGUUCGGAUUGUAGGCUGCAACUCGCCUACAUGAAGCCGGAAUCGCUAGUAAUCGCGGAUCAGCACGCCGCGGUGAAUACGUUCCCGGGC
Molecule: ribosomal RNA, 411 nt
Filed under: Enterococcus columbae
Lineage: Bacteria; Bacillati; Bacillota; Bacilli; Lactobacillales; Enterococcaceae
Description: bacterial SSU rRNA
Rfam family: Bacterial small subunit ribosomal RNA
Source: RNAcentral